Molecule: ribosomal RNA, 380 nt
Filed under: Spiroplasma endosymbiont of Cantharis rustica
Lineage: Bacteria; Bacillati; Mycoplasmatota; Mollicutes; Entomoplasmatales; Spiroplasmataceae
Description: bacterial SSU rRNA
Rfam family: Bacterial small subunit ribosomal RNA
Source: RNAcentral
UACCGCAUGGGACACUACUAUGCAUGAGAAAGUGUUAAAAGGACCGUUUGGUCCGCCAAAGGAUGAGGAUGCGGCGUAUUAGCUAGUAGGUGGGGUAAUGGCCCACCUAGGCAGUGAUACGUAGCCGAACUGAGAGGUUGAUCGGCCACAUUGGGACUGAGAUACGGCCCAAACUCCUACGGGAGGCAGCAGUAGGGAAUUUUUCACAAUGGACGAAAGUCUGAUGAAGCAAUGCCGCGUGAAUGAUGAAGGUCUUCGGAUCGUAAAGUUCUGUUGUAGGGGAAGAAUAGCUUGGACAGGAAAUGGUCUGAGUCUGACGGUACCCUACGAGGAAGCCACGGCUAACUAUGUGCCAGCAGCCGCGGUAAUACAUAGGUGGC